GGGUGCUCACUUGCUCUCUGCAAACAGGUGGAGGCUGCUCAGCCCUGACUUCUGCUUGCACAUCCCACUCGGCACAGAUGGGUGCUAAUGUUGCCAGCUCUGCUCUGGAAGGGCUACGCUUCGUUAGCGUCGUAUUAACGCCUCUAGCAGUGCUGGCCAGAGCUUUAAGAGAUAGUUCCAGCAAUGAGCAUAUCGGAGCAGCAAAGACACAGCUGCUCGAAACAGCAACGUGCAGUGGUUAUAUAUGCAAUGAAAAAGGUUAUAUAUGCAAUGAAAAAAGACCUCCUUCAAGGAAGCUAUUGAAGACAGCUGCAGAUCAGUCCUCCUCAGGGUUCAUUAGCUUUUUUCAUCUUCUCUAAACCAGCCCUGGGCAUGACUUUAGAAGAUGAUUAAACCAAAAAUUUGUGUGUCAUUACACCUUCUACAACUCCAGCUGCAACACUUUAUCCGUGAAAGCCCCAGGAUCCAAGAUCCAGGAUAGAAGCCUUCUGUCUCUCGACUUCCUUGGCAUGCUGGUUACAAUCUCUGCUCCCACCACCACCUAUGUCUGAAUUGUGAUUGGUUAAAAACCCUUAAUCUUUGCUGGGAUUGCAUAAACAGAAACAUGGAUUGCCAGCCACCCAAAAUCUCCGGUGAGCCCUGGACUGUGACAAACAAAAGGCCCUUCAGUAUUCUCCCCAGCAAGUGCUUCACAAAGGUGGAGUGAAUUUUGUGCCAGAGUUCCUUCCUCUUUAUGCUGUAGGGAUGCCCUAAAUGGUUCUGUUAUGUGGAGGACAGAUACAUAUUUAUCUGUAAUCCUGACCAUACAGAUGGUGAGAUGCCAGCUAUAAAUCAACAGGAUCUGCAAAGUUUUGCCAAAGGCACUCAUAACUGUGAGUUGCACACAUGGGUGCUUUAAGUGCUAAAAAAGGCCCUACUCUCUUCACACCUGAAAUAUGGGUCCACAGCCCUUAUACCUACAGCAUUCACAAGCCAGUACAUGGUAGCCCAUGCAGAGCACUUUUAAAUUUGAAAUGCAGACACAUGACCUCAGAUUCCACUCAUAAAGGGCUAUCUGUAUUGCAAUGUUUGAGACUUACAAGUGCAAACACAGCAGAGGCACUAAGGGCUUAUGUGAAAAAAUAAUUAUUCCAUGUAGAAAGGAAGUUGGCUUGCUUUGAGCAGAGGUGUUAAUAGACUAACCUUUUUCCCCAACACCAGCCUGCUUACCUGAAAAUAUGAAAACAUCUACAGAUGCAGCACUCUAUUUGAGACUUCCAGAGCAAGUAAUUCCCAGAGCACUCUUGGCUGCCUAUUUUCAAGUACUGAGGCUGAGAAAGCUAAGCCUAUCUAUACUUGGAGGAAAAUAAGAAGACCAGGCUAAUUAAAAAUUCACCUUUGCCCUGUAUUCCUAAAAGCACUGCACAGCCCCAUGGCACCAAACACUUCGUGUUUUUAGUGGAGAGUUUAAAGCAGAGUUUGCUUCUGGUAACUUUUCCUUUUAGUGUCUCUUUAAUAAAAAGGAAUAACAAUUGGAAACCAGCUCCCAAAGUGGCACACUCAGUCUUUUCUCUGCUUCUAUUUAAUGUAUUCUAUUGUAAUAAAGUGAACACACACACACACACAAACCUAUUAGCCCUACAAUUAAACAAAUAAUGGCAUUAACAACUCCCACCCACCGCCUUAAGCAGGUUUAGCUGGGAGAGCAGAAGCAGCUGUCUCUGUCCUGUGUCUCUGCCAGAGGUCACCAUCCUGUAGCAGGAUCAGCUGAUCCUCCUGGAUAAACUCCUGAGCAAGUGUAGUGUACAGGCUCCAGCAUGAUCAUAAACCACCUCCAAUUUCAGUUUACUCUGGCAGUACCCUCCUACAAAAAUAAGGGAAGAAACCUAAGACUGGUAACUGUUUCAUCUCUUAGUAUCAGAUAAAUCCACCUUUGAUUACGCUUCAAAGCCCCAAAAAAUGGAACAGUCAAGUUUAUAAUAAUGCUCUAGGUUGCCAUGAAUUCACAUAAAUUCUUGUACUGACAAAGGUCACUGACAUAACCAUUGAACUACACUGCUAAUAGAAGAGCUAAGAGAGGUCCUCUAAAGUUUAUCCAGGCAUGUGUAGGCUUUGAACAUUUUCAAAGCUAGCUAGCUCUAUGAAAUUCAGCUAUUUCCAACCCUAGGACUAGGACAAGUUUGGGUAUCUCCAUAUGGCCCCCAGGAGUGUUGCUAUAUCCAAGCUACCACUGCUACCACAUGAAAUCAUCUCAAACAGUGAAGAGACGAGAGAAGGACAAGGUUCCCGCUCAAGUGAGAGGUAUUUUUUUCACAUCAGACCAACAGAUGAUUGACUCAGAAGCUAUCAAUGUCUUUUUGGCAUCCAAAGUGGAGACACACAUACUUACAGUGGACUUGCUUACUGGUAAUUAUAGAGAAAACAGCAGGUGGUUACAGUUGAGUUUCUGGUGCAGAUUUCACACUGUCAGAUUCACACGAAACAGAGAAAGACGUCAGUUUUGAGCAGUGGUGUGAAUGAGGAGAGUGCUAAACAGUAGAUAUACCUUGAAAGCAGGAAAAUAAUACAUAAGGACUGCCAUGAUCUCCAUAGUGCAGGGGGUGUAUGCAACAGAAGAUUUAAAAAUGAGGGCAAGAUUUAUUAUGCUUUUUCUAGAGCAUUAGGUAAGGCAUUUGAGGCUGGGAGGUGUGGGAAGACUAGAGCAAGGAAGAUCUUUCAAAAGAAGAAUGAUUUGUGAUAUCUGGAGGGGGUUUGUUUUACAAUGCUUGAACCACAUUUACUGCACUGUAGCUGCUGCAAUACCACAAAGUCCUGGUGUAGGUGCAUCUCACUGAGAAGGGAAGAUCUUCUCUUGUGGCUUUCACCACACUUGUCCCAGCCUCCUACGUAUGGUUUGCACUGACACAGCUCCAGGUAGCCCCGAGACAUCAAACCUGACACAACCAUCCUGUGCACCCUUCUAAACACCGCAGGCAAGCCCUGCUCCUCUCGGUCACAUUUGUAAUUCUGGGCACUUCCCUGCAGCUAAGAGAAACUCUGAGCUGGUAUAUCUGUACAGAGACAAGCAGGAUCUGGUGUCUGUCAUGUAAAUCCUCCCUAAAGUCAUCCUCUAAACCUUCCAUGAUGCAUUUUCAAGACUAUCUUAUUUAAAUGAGAGCAUGAGAGAAGAGGGAGUAGAACAAGGCUGGCACACUGGCAAGGGCAGGCGUGGAGCCAGCCAGCUCCCUCAGGGCAGGGAAGGCAGCCCUGCUCACAGCGUGCUGGAAGCCACUCUGCAGGCUAUUUGUGUCACAGGCCACUCCUGAAGCCACCCUCCCAGCUAUUCUUGUCACAGGCCACUCUGCAGAGCCCUGCCAGCUUCUGCAGGAGGGCACAGGCACAUGAUAAGGAUAAGCAGGAGCUGAAACAAGAUGGCACCAAAUGAAUUUCCCUCUGCAUGACCUAUGCAGUGGAUUUUCUGGCAUCUCAAUAAGCACAAAGAGAAACCCACUGGAGUAAGCAGAGCCCUGCGUCAGCAAAACACCAGCUCUCACAUGAAACACUC
This is a long non-coding RNA of Serinus canaria (Common canary), 3523 nucleotides long. RefSeq lists it as uncharacterized. The record is from RefSeq and is a predicted model, not a curated record. The transcript is spliced from 3 exons. Lineage: Eukaryota; Metazoa; Chordata; Aves; Passeriformes; Fringillidae.